CCUACGGGAGGCAGCAGUGGGGGAUAUUGCACAAUGGGGGAAACCCUGAUGCAGCGACGCCGCGUGGGUGAAGAAGCGCCUCGGCGCGUAAAGCCCUGUCAGCAGGGAAGAAAAUGACGGUACCUGAAGAAGAAGCCCCGGCUAACUACGUGCCAGCAGCCGCGGGCAUACGUAGGGGGCAAGCGUCAUCCGGAUUUACUGGGGGUAAAGGGGGCGCAGACGGCGAUGCAAGCCAGGAGUGAAAGCCCGGGGCCCACCCCCGGGACUGCUCUUGGAACUGCGUGGCUAGAGUGCAGGAGGGGCAGGCGGAAUUCCUGGUGUAGCGGUGAAAUGCGUAGAUAUCAGGAGGAACACCGGUGGCGAAGGCGGCCUGCUGGACUGCAACUGACGUUGAGGCCCGAAAGCGUGGGGAGCAAACAGGAUUAGAUACCCUGGUAGUC
Molecule: ribosomal RNA, 440 nt
Filed under: uncultured bacterium
Lineage: Bacteria
Description: partial 16S ribosomal RNA
Rfam family: Bacterial small subunit ribosomal RNA
Source: RNAcentral